GUAGCGCCUCGUGAAUUCAUCUCCGGGGGUAGAGCACUGUUUCGGCUAGGGGGCCAUCCCGGCUUACCAACCCGAUGCAAACUGCGAAUACCGGAGAAUGUUAUCACGGGAGACACACGGCGGGUGCUAACGUCCGUCGUGAAGAGGGAAACAACCCAGACCGCCAGCUAAGGUCCCAAAGUCAUGGUUAAGUGGGAAACGAUGUGGGAAGGCCCAGACAGCCAGGAUGUUGGCUUAGAAGCAGCCAUCAUUUAAAGAAAGCGUAAUAGCUCACUGGUCGAGUCGGCCUGCGCGGAAGAUGUAACGGGGCUAAACCAUGCACCGAAGCUGCGGCAGCGACGCUGAUGCGUUGUUGGGUAGGGGAGCGUUCUGUAAGCCUGCGAAGGUGGCCUGUGAGGGUUGCUGGAGGUAUCAGAAGUGCGAAUGCUGACAUAAGUAACGAUAAAGCGGGUGAAAAGCCCGCUCGCCGGAAGACCAAGGGUUCCUGUCCAACGUUAAUCGGGGCAGGGUGAGUCGACCCCUAAGGCGAGGCCGAAAGGCGUAGUCGAUGGGAAACGGGUUAAUAUUCCCGUACUUGGUGUUACUGCGAAGGGGGGACGGAGAAGGCUAUGUUGGCCGGGCGACGGUUGUCCCGGUUUAAGCGUGUAGGUGUGUGUUCCAGGUAAAUCCGGUUCACUUUAACACUGAGGCGUGACGACGAGGCACUACGGUGCUGAAGCAACAAAUGCCCUGCUUCCAGGAAAAGCCUCUAAGCAUCAGGUAACAUCAAAUCGUACCCCAAACCGACACAGGUGGUCAGGUAGAGAAUACCAAGGCGCUUGAGAGAACUCGGGUGAAGGAACUAGGCAAAAUGGUGCCGUAACUUCGGGAGAAGGCACGCUGACACGUAGGUGAAGUGAUUUACUCAUGGAGCUGAAGUCAGUCGAAGAUACCAGCUGGCUGCAACUGUUUAUUAAAAACACAGCACUGUGCAAACACGAAAGUGGACGUAUACGGUGUGACGCCUGCCCGGUGCCGGAAGGUUAAUUGAUGGGGUCAGCGCAAGCGAAGCUCCUGAUCGAAGCCCCGGUAAACGGCGGCCGUAACUAUAACGGUCCUAAGGUAGCGAAAUUCCUUGUCGGGUAAGUUCCGACCUGCACGAAUGGCGUAAUGAUGGCCAGGCUGUCUCCACCCGAGACUCAGUGAAAUUGAACUCGCUGUGAAGAUGCAGUGUACCCGCGGCAAGACGGAAAGACCCCGUGAACCUUUACUAUAGCUUGACACUGAACAUUGAGCCUUGAUGUGUAGGAUAGGUGGGAGGCUUUGAAGUGUGGACGCCAGUCUGCAUGGAGCCGACCUUGAAAUACCACCCUUUAAUGUUUGAUGUUCUAACGUGGACCCGUGAUCCGGGUUGCGGACAGUGUCUGGUGGGUAGUUUGACUGGGGCGGUCUCCUCCUAAAGAGUAACGGAGGAGCACGAAGGUUGGCUAAUCCUGGUCGGACAUCAGGAGGUUAGUGCAAUGGCAUAAGCCAGCUUGACUGCGAGCGUGACGGCGCGAGCAGGUGCGAAAGCAGGUCAUAGUGAUCCGGUGGUUCUGAAUGGAAGGGCCAUCGCUCAACGGAUAAAAGGUACUCCGGGGAUAACAGGCUGAUACCGCCCAAGAGUUCAUAUCGACGGCGGUGUUUGGCACCUCGAUGUCGGCUCAUCACAUCCUGGGGCUGAAGUAGGUCCCAAGGGUAUGGCUGUUCGCCAUUUAAAGUGGUACGCGAGCUGGGUUUAGAACGUCGUGAGACAGUUCGGUCCCUAUCUGCCGUGGGCGCUGGAGAACUGAGGGGGGCUGCUCCUAGUACGAGAGGACCGGAGUGGACGCAUCACUGGUGUUCGGGUUGUCAUGCCAAUGGCACUGCCCGGUAGCUAAAUGCGGAAGAGAUAAGUGCUGAAAGCAUCUAAGCACGAAACUUGCCCCGA
Molecule: ribosomal RNA, 1948 nt
Filed under: Salmonella enterica subsp. enterica
Lineage: Bacteria; Pseudomonadati; Pseudomonadota; Gammaproteobacteria; Enterobacterales; Enterobacteriaceae
Description: partial 23S ribosomal RNA
Rfam family: Bacterial large subunit ribosomal RNA
Source: RNAcentral